GUCUGCGGCCAUACGACCCUGAACACACGCCAUCUCAUCUGAUCUCAGAAGCUAAGCAGGGUCGGGCCUGGUUAGUACUUGAAUGGGAGACCUUAUCUGUGAAAUGGGCCUGCCAGUCC
This 119-nucleotide ribosomal RNA is filed under the name Carlito syrichta (Philippine tarsier). The record is from RNAcentral. Lineage: Eukaryota; Metazoa; Chordata; Mammalia; Primates; Tarsiidae.